RNAcentral lists this unclassified non-coding RNA (2114 nucleotides) under Centruroides sculpturatus (bark scorpion). Its description in RNAcentral is "protein FAM219A-like, transcript variant X1". The record is from RNAcentral. Lineage: Eukaryota; Metazoa; Arthropoda; Arachnida; Scorpiones; Buthidae.
UCUAUAAUUUUCAAUAAUUUUUUUAAUGUAAAAAAAAUUGUAUUGGCAACACUUAUAAAUUGAUAAGCAGACGAGAAAUGGCGGUGCUCAAUAUGUAUUUUGAUUCAAAUUCGAUGUAGUAUUCGUUAGAAAGACUAUGAGAGAUACUCAUUUUAUGUUUGAAUGUAAUAUCUAUCUUUAUAACCGAAAAUGGAAGAUAGUGGUAUAGAUAGCGAUUCUAAAUCAAACAGUUAUGGUUGUGUAGGUGCUACCUCUGGCUGGAGUGGACAUGACACAUCGAUGGCUGCGAGGAAGGAAAACACGCCACAUGAAUCCAAUUUACAAGAGGCAGAAAAUCAGAAAGAUGAAAUUAAUGAAACCAUUCCUACAUCAUCAUCACAGUUGAUGACAACUGUUCAGCUACAAAAACGUCUUGAAAAGCAAAUACAGCAAGCAAGAAAAAUAAGAAAAGAAGUAGGAAAUGACAGUGAAGUUCACCCAAAAAAAUCACUUAUUUCACGAAACAGGUUGACAGUGCCUAGUAAAUCUCAAGUUCCUGUGGUGACUAAAUCUGAUGAGCAUCCAUUAGUAACAUGGGAAAGUGAAAGCAGUGAUGAUGACUAUGAAUUCCAUUCCAUGAGUAAAUCAACCACAAGAGAAAUAACUCAACAAUUAAUCAGAGAUGGAUAUAAUUUGGAUCUGACUCCUGAUGAUGAAGACCUUGACUUAAUACCACCAAAGCCAUUGAAUCAACGAUGUGCUUGUUUCUGUAUCAACUAGUUAUCAAGUUUGAUUUUGAAAUUUGAAGAAAAUAUUUAGGCCAUUCUGUGUCAAGGAUUGCAUGUAUGCUAUGAAAGUGCCAGACAUGAGAGCCCAACUUACAAGAAUUCUGGAUCCAUUAACAGAAUGAUUCCUAACAUGCUGGCUCGGACAUGAACCAAAAUCAAGUACAGACUGGAUGUUGUAUUUGCUACUCCAGGAGCACAUGUGGAAGUGUAUUGAAUUAAUAUAGAAUUUUAAGUUUUUGGAGACAAAAUAUGUCAGAUGUUUUCUUAUGAUUUCAUGUAGUUUUCCAGUGAAACUGUAUAAAAGAAAGUGAUUUUUUGCUCCAUUCAUGACAAGAGUUUACAAGAAAAGAAGGACCACUGCCUCUUGUACAGAUUUUAAAAGUAACUGGAAUUUUUUGCAUUUGUGAAAGUGCCAAUUUUCAGAUUUAUGGUAGUAUUCUGUUUUUUAAUUUUAUUCAUUUAUGUUUCUGUAAAAAAUGAGUUAUUUUUGUUUUGUUGAUUUUAAAUUAGUUGUAAUACAGUCAAUUCCGCUUAAUUGGGACAUAUCAGGGAUUGACUAAUUUGUCCUGAUAAAGCAACUGUCUCAAUAAAGCAAAUUUUAAGGGAACAGAUGAAAUCUUAAAUGAAAAAUGGACUAUAAAGACAAAAACUAUUUAUUGAAAAAUAUAAUUAAUAUUCAGUCUUAUGUACUGUACAAACAUGUGUAGCAUAUGUGUAAUUAGAUUUAAGUUCAAAAUUAACAUAUUAAAAUAUAAUCAUUAAAUUAAAAAAAGAACAGUUAUUUUUGCCAAAAUUUAUUGAAUGUUUCUUGAAUGCUUUCUCUUUAUACCUUGCAAGUAGAUAAAAUUGGCAGGCACAAGCAGGGCUGUGGAGUUAGUAAAAUACACUGGACUCCGAUUCUGACUCCUGAUAAUUUUAGUAGGCCAACUCCAACUCCCAACUCCAGCAAAAUUACCCUACAGCAUAAAUUACCAGGUCAUUUUAUGGGGGGCAGAGGUGUUCAUAGAAGUUACUCUACUCUGAACUCUGAAAGGAGUCCAGAGCAUUUACCCAAAUACUUUUAUAGUUAGUAUUUUUAAUAUUUAACUUACAUUAAUAUUUAUUUGUAUAAAAAAAAUUAAUUUUUAACAAAUAUUUAAUAAGAGGUAAAAGGGGAGCAAUAAAAUUCUGCAUCUACAUAUCUUUAUUCUACAGCUUUUGCACUUUAAUUUCACCUUUCCAGAAAAGUUAGUCCAACUAAAAAGUGUGUGAUCUAGCUACUUCAGCAGCCCCUUGUUCAGAAAAGAAAAAUAUAUACUCUGAUAAAUUAGUCUGGCUCAUUCAGAAAAAUAGAGUACUUAUUUAGAG